Aethalodelphis obliquidens (Pacific white-sided dolphin) is the source of this 1838-nucleotide RNA transcript. It is a transcript of the gene named Y-box binding protein 2, with no coding region annotated. NCBI's taxonomy places the organism in Eukaryota, Metazoa, Chordata, Mammalia, Artiodactyla, Delphinidae. The transcript is spliced from 9 exons. The record is from RefSeq and is a predicted model, not a curated record.
AGUGGGUUCGCGAGCCAGGGGGAGGGGCCGGGCCGGUGGCGGCGGAGGAGGAGGAGGUGGCGGCGGGGGCCGGUACUGGGCCCGGCGGGAUGAGCGAGGCGGAGGCGGCAGUGGUGGCGACAGCGGCCCCCGCGGCCACGGUGCCCGCGACGGCGGCAGGGGUGGUAGCGGUGGUGGUUCCGGUGCCCGCAGGGGAGUCGCAGAAAGCAGGCAGCGGGGCGGGCGGAGUCGGAGCCGCAGCCUCCUCGGGCCCCGCUGCUGGGACCCCCUCGGCGCCGGGCCCCCGCACCCCUGGCAACCCAGCGACGGCGGCCUCGGGGACCCCCGCGCCCCCGGCCCGGAGUCAGGCGGACAAGCCGGUGCUGGCAAUCCAAGUCCUGGGCACUGUCAAAUGGUUCAACGUGCGGAAUGGUUACGGAUUCAUCAACAGGAAUGACACCAAGGAGGAUGUCUUUGUUCACCAGACAGCUAUUAAAAGAAACAACCCGAGGAAGUUUCUGCGCAGCGUUGGAGAUGGGGAGACUGUGGAGUUCGAUGUCGUGGAAGGAGAGAAGGGCGCAGAAGCUGCUAAUGUAACUGGGCCCGGCGGGGUGCCAGUGAAGGGCAGCCGCUAUGCCCCCAACCGACGUAGGUUCCGCCGAUUCAUCCCCCGGCCCCGCCCAGCUGCCCCGCCACCCAUGGUGGCAGAGGCUCCAUCGGGCCGGACAGAACUAGGCAGCGAAGGGGAGCGUGCUGAAGACUCCGGGCAGCGGCCCAGACGACGGCGCCCACCGCCCUUCUUCUACCGACGGCGCUUUGUGCGAGGCCCUCGGCCCCCCAACCAGCAGCCGCCCAUAGAGGGCACUGAUGGGGCAGAACCCAAAGAGAGAGCCCCGUUGGAGGGGGACCAACAGCAGGGAGAUGAGCGGGUACCCCCACCCAGAUUCCGGCCCAGGUACCGAAGGCCUUUCCACCCCAGGCCACCCCAGCAGCCCACCACAGAAAGUGGGGAUGGCGAGACCAAGCCCAGCCAAGGCCCCACUGACGGUUCCCGGCCUGAGCCCCAGCGCUCACGAAACCGCCCCUACUUCCAGCGGAGACGUCAGCAGCCCCCUGGACCCGGGCGGCCCACAGCCCCAGAGCCUGACACCCAAGAGACAGUGCUGCUGGGUCCACGCCUGGCGGGCACCCCAACCCACCAGGAAACCCCAGCAGAGGCGGUCGAGCCCACGUCACCCCCUGCAGACUCCCUCUCAGCUCUGCUGGGAGCCCCAGCACCAGCCUGUGGAUGUUAACUGGGGGAGGAACGGGAAGAGAAAAGGUGGGAGGAGGUUGAAGUUGGGGGCUCCAAAGGACAAGAGGGUCUCAGUCGGCCACCCUUGUUCUCUCUAGACCUCGGCCCCCAUCAACAGUGGGGACCCCCCAACUGGCAUACCGGAGUGAUUCCAACUCGAAGGACACCCAGAGCCACCAUCUGGUAUCUGCCAGUUUUUCCAACUGACCUGGAUCCUACCCAGCACCUCCCUCCCCGCUUUCCCACAAUUCAUGACAUCGAAACACCAGCUUUUCCCCUUUUUCCUGGAGACUCAGGAGGGCCAAAGCAACAGCCUUUGGCUUUUUUUUCUCUCCCUGACCAAGGGUUAAAGGAAGGGAUCCAUCCUUAUAGUUCAGAGUCACCAACUCCCUCCCCUAAAUCAGGCUGAGAAGGAACCAGCCAGCUCUCACCUCCUCCUGGUUGUUUUUCUUUCCCCUCCCAGUUUAUUUUUUGUUUCCCCACUACCCCCUACCUCUGAAGCCAUUUUAUGAACCGUCAUGUGCCACCUGAGCCUCCAGUAAAAACAAAAACAGGCUUUCCUGUU